This 1566-nucleotide ribosomal RNA is filed under the name Enterococcus mundtii. RNAcentral describes it as "bacterial SSU rRNA". It matches the Rfam family "Bacterial small subunit ribosomal RNA". Lineage: Bacteria; Bacillati; Bacillota; Bacilli; Lactobacillales; Enterococcaceae. The record is from RNAcentral.
UAUGAGAGUUUGAUCCUGGCUCAGGACGAACGCUGGCGGCGUGCCUAAUACAUGCAAGUCGAACGCUUCUUUUCCCACCGGAGCUUGCUCCACCGGGAAAAGAGGAGUGGCGAACGGGUGAGUAACACGUGGGUAACCUGCCCAUCAGAAGGGGAUAACACUUGGAAACAGGUGCUAAUACCGUAUAACAAUCGAAACCGCAUGGUUUCAAUUUGAAAGGCGCUUUACGGUGCCGCUGAUGGAUGGACCCGCGGUGCAUUAGCUAGUUGGUGAGGUAACGGCUCACCAAGGCAACGAUGCAUAGCCGACCUGAGAGGGUGAUCGGCCACAUUGGGACUGAGACACGGCCCAAACUCCUACGGGAGGCAGCAGUAGGGAAUCUUCGGCAAUGGACGAAAGUCUGACCGAGCAACGCCGCGUGAGUGAAGAAGGUUUUCGGAUCGUAAAACUCUGUUGUUAGAGAAGAACAAGGGUGAGAGUAACUGUUCACCCCUUGACGGUAUCUAACCAGAAAGCCACGGCUAACUACGUGCCAGCAGCCGCGGUAAUACGUAGGUGGCAAGCGUUGUCCGGAUUUAUUGGGCGUAAAGCGAGCGCAGGCGGUUUCUUAAGUCUGAUGUGAAAGCCCCCGGCUCAACCGGGGAGGGUCAUUGGAAACUGGGAGACUUGAGUGCAGAAGAGGAGAGUGGAAUUCCAUGUGUAGCGGUGAAAUGCGUAGAUAUAUGGAGGAACACCAGUGGCGAAGGCGGCUCUCUGGUCUGUAACUGACGCUGAGGCUCGAAAGCGUGGGGAGCAAACAGGAUUAGAUACCCUGGUAGUCCACGCCGUAAACGAUGAGUGCUAAGUGUUGGAGGGUUUCCGCCCUUCAGUGCUGCAGCUAACGCAUUAAGCACUCCGCCUGGGGAGUACGACCGCAAGGUUGAAACUCAAAGGAAUUGACGGGGGCCCGCACAAGCGGUGGAGCAUGUGGUUUAAUUCGAAGCAACGCGAAGAACCUUACCAGGUCUUGACAUCCUUUGACCACUCUAGAGAUAGAGCUUCCCCUUCGGGGGCAAAGUGACAGGUGGUGCAUGGUUGUCGUCAGCUCGUGUCGUGAGAUGUUGGGUUAAGUCCCGCAACGAGCGCAACCCUUAUUGUUAGUUGCCAUCAUUUAGUUGGGCACUCUAGCAAGACUGCCGGUGACAAACCGGAGGAAGGUGGGGAUGACGUCAAAUCAUCAUGCCCCUUAUGACCUGGGCUACACACGUGCUACAAUGGGAAGUACAACGAGUCGCAAAGUCGCGAGGCUAAGCUAAUCUCUUAAAGCUUCUCUCAGUUCGGAUUGUAGGCUGCAACUCGCCUACAUGAAGCCGGAAUCGCUAGUAAUCGCGGAUCAGCACGCCGCGGUGAAUACGUUCCCGGGCCUUGUACACACCGCCCGUCACACCACGAGAGUUUGUAACACCCGAAGUCGGUGAGGUAACCUUUUUGGAGCCAGCCGCCUAAGGUGGGAUAGAUGAUUGGGGUGAAGUCGUAACAAGGUAGCCGUAUCGGAAGGUGCGGCUGGAUCACCUCCUUUCUAAGGAA